CUGGCGGCGUGCCUAAUACAUGCAAGUCGAGCGGAAUGAUGAAGAAGCUUGCUUCUUCUGAUUUUAGCGGCGGACGGGUGAGUAACACGUGGGCAACUACCUUGUAGAUUGGGAUAACUCCGGGAAACCGGGGCUAAUACCGAAUAAUCCAUUUUGCUUCAUGGCGAGAUGUUGAAAGACGGUUUCGGCUGUCACUAUAAGAUGGGCCCGCGGCGCAUUAGCUAGUUGGUAGGGUAAUGGCCUACCAAGGCGACGAUGCGUAGCCGACCUGAGAGGGUGAUCGGCCACACUGGGACUGAGACACGGCCCAGACUCCUACGGGAGGGCAGCAGUAGGGAAUCUUCCGCAAUGGACGAAAGUCUGACGGAGCAACGCCGCGUGAGUGAAGAAGGUUUUCGGAUCGUAAAACUCUGUUGUAAGGGAAGAACACGUACGAGAGUAACUGCUCGUACCUUGACGGUACCUUAUUAGAAAGCCACGGCUAACUACGUG
Molecule: ribosomal RNA, 492 nt
Filed under: uncultured bacterium
Lineage: Bacteria
Description: bacterial SSU rRNA
Rfam family: Bacterial small subunit ribosomal RNA
Source: RNAcentral